This 406-nucleotide ribosomal RNA is filed under the name uncultured bacterium. Its description in RNAcentral is "partial 16S ribosomal RNA". It matches the Rfam family "Bacterial small subunit ribosomal RNA", at positions 30 to 526 of the family's 1533-position model. The record is from RNAcentral.
AUUGAACGCUGGCGGCAGGCCUAACACAUGCAAGUCUAGCGAGCGGCGGACGGGUGAGUAAUGUAGGGGGAUCUGCCCGAUAGAGGGGGAUAACUCCUGGAAACGGUGGCUCAUACCGCAUACUAUCGGUUGCACCCACAGGGGAUUAGCUAGUCGGUGGGGUAAAGGCGCACCUAGGCGACGAUCUCUAGCUGGUCUGAGAGGAUGAUCAGCCACACUGGGACUGAGACACGGCCCAGACUCCUACGGGAGGCAGCAGUGGGGAAUAUUGCACAAUGGGCGAAAGCCUGAUGCAGCCAUGCCGCGUGUAGGAAGAAGGCCUUAGGGUUGUAAAGUACUUUCAGCGGGGAGGCGUUACCCGCAUAAGAAGCACCGGCUAACUCCGUGCCAACAGCCGCGGUAAUAC